Molecule: non-coding RNA, 764 nt
Organism: Chiloscyllium plagiosum (whitespotted bambooshark)
Lineage: Eukaryota; Metazoa; Chordata; Chondrichthyes; Orectolobiformes; Hemiscylliidae
Source: RefSeq, a predicted model, not a curated record
UAUUGUGGUGCAUCAUUGCUGAAUUUUAUUGGAGGCUAGUAUAUCCUUUCCAAGACAACUGGUCAGAUGGCAAGGUGGUCUCAAGUAUCAUACAGCAACGCCAUCAACAUCAGACUGCAACAAGGAUCCACUGGGGACAAUACACAGGAAUCAACUGAUUUUUCCGUCAACUGAUUCAAAUGGCAGUGAAUAAUAUGGGAGGAAAUAUCGGGAAGGAUGAGGUCAAGAGAAUACAGAUUGUAUGGUAGGAAAUUGAAUUGCAGAGAGGGAGGCAGAUUGCAGGUGAAGAGUUCAGAUAGUAUGAAGGUAUUGAAUCAUAGGGGACAAUUUAAUAAUCUGUGUAAGUUGAUAUAUAACUCUCUUUGGGUCAUUAUUGCUCCUAGCUUUUCAAUAAUAAGAUCUAUUUUGUUUGGGAUAAAAUGGAUGGUAAUUCAUUCAAGCCAAAUAGUCUCUUUCUGUUCCAAAUGACUCAAUGACCUAUUAGUUGUGCUGAAGUUCAUCUGUCACAGUUCUGCCCACUCUAAUUCUGCUGAUGUUCAUUUGUAAUUUUAUAUUUUGUCAACACUACUUACUGUAGUAAUGGUCAAUAGGUUAUUGUCAAAUUUGGAUAUGCAACUUCUUAUUUAGUUCUCUAAUUCAUGAAUAAAUGUCAUAAGGAGUUAUGACCUGAGAAGAGAUGCUUUUGAGACAACAAAUGAUCACUUGCCUCAACUUGGAUACAUAUUUAUCCUUCCUACUGUCUAGCUUUCGUUACCUAAACGAUU